AACGAACGCUGGCGGCAGGCUUAACACAUGCAAGUCGAGCGCCCCGCAAGGGGAGCGGCAGACGGGUGAGUAACGCGUGGGAAUCUACCUUUUGCUACGGAAUAACGCAGGGAAACUUGUGCUAAUACCGUAUGUGUCCUUCGGGAGAAAGAUUUAUCGGCAAGAGAUGAGCCCGCGUUGGAUUAGCUAGUUGGUGGGGUAAAGCCUACCAAGGCGACGAUCCAUAGCUGGUCUGAGAGGAUGAUCAGCCACAUUGGGACUGAGACACGGCCCAAACUCCUACGGGGAGGCAGCAGUGGGGAAUAUUGGACAAUGGGCGCAAGCCUGAUCCAGCCAUGCCGCGUGAGUGAUGAAGGCCCUAGGUUGUAAAGCUCUUUCACCGGAGAAGAUAAUGACGGUAUCCG
This 404-nucleotide ribosomal RNA is filed under the name uncultured Rhizobium sp. RNAcentral describes it as "bacterial SSU rRNA". It matches the Rfam family "Bacterial small subunit ribosomal RNA", at positions 29 to 481 of the family's 1533-position model. Lineage: Bacteria; Pseudomonadati; Pseudomonadota; Alphaproteobacteria; Hyphomicrobiales; Rhizobiaceae. The record is from RNAcentral.